CACAAUAUUUGGCACUAAACUGGACUCAGCCAAUAGCUUGGGAUGUAGCUGGGAUCGCAUCAAUCGUUUCAAACCAUCAGCCUGGAGUGAAUGUCGCGGUCGGCAGUUCUAUCAGAGUCAGUUACAAUAUAACCGACAACAAUGGACUGACAAACGGGAACUGUUCUUUCAUUUUCGCUGUUCGAUCAGCAGAUCCUUCCUGGAAGUGCACAUUGUCAAAGUGUUACCGGUUGAUUGGUCUUCGUACGUUUUACCAAUCGCACUCCCUCUGCCAGAGUUUCGAUGUGGUCAAUGCAGCGUCAGGGAACCUGGCAGUUUCCACACUGUAUGUAAACACACGCAGUGAAUUCCUUGACAUAAACAAAGUGCUGGGUCCAAGUCAAUUCUUGCUCAACUGUUAUGCGAAAUCACAAAAAGGGCAUUUCAACUGUGUUGGUGAUGAUGGUGAAGUAACAGGACCUCCAUCUGAUGUCCCUUUUGGCAUCGUUCAUCUUGGAGGAAGCCAUGGGCACUGUCUGAUUAUCGGGAUUGAUGAUAAUGGGUCUAUAGUAGUGAAUGAUGUAUCGUGUGGAAUCCAUCACCCAUUCGUUUGUCAGAUUGUACUUUGAGCAGGGUGCUACUUAACUGUUUAGAAGCGCUUGCCUGGUUGGGUAAGUAAAAUUUAUAUAUCUACCUUGUUAUUGAAUUUCUUUUUCAAAAGUGAUUUUAUCUUGUCUGCC
This is a long non-coding RNA of Lytechinus variegatus (green sea urchin), 719 nucleotides long. RefSeq lists it as uncharacterized. The record is from RefSeq and is a predicted model, not a curated record. The transcript is spliced from 3 exons. NCBI's taxonomy places the organism in Eukaryota, Metazoa, Echinodermata, Echinoidea, Temnopleuroida, Toxopneustidae.